CAGUGAGUAGAUUGGUAAACCCAGUUGCAGAGUGGCGGGAAAAUAAACGAGCAGUGUGAGCUCUUCAGCCAAAACACAGUUUUCAUCUAAAUAAACUCACUAAUACCCUGAUUUUAUGAUAGGUGGGAGACAUUGUCCCGUGGUGCGACUGCCCUGUGAUGCUGGGUCGCUGCUGAUGACGUGCAAUUUUUUCAUAAGGAUCCAAUAUGGUCAUUGCAGAGUUCAUCGGUCGGCUCUGAACACACUUAUCCAGAGACGAGUGCAGAAGGGGCAGGAGGUCCUGGUCAGUUGUGUCAGUUCAGGGCUGCUCCUCAG
Long non-coding RNA from Astyanax mexicanus (Mexican tetra), 315 nucleotides. RefSeq lists it as uncharacterized. The transcript has 3 exons. The record is from RefSeq and is a predicted model, not a curated record. NCBI's taxonomy places the organism in Eukaryota, Metazoa, Chordata, Actinopteri, Characiformes, Acestrorhamphidae.